UGUUAAAAUUUUCAUCCAUUUUUGCUGCUAAAAAUUGGUGUGGUUGACAAAAUAACCAAAUAGUUACAUGUAGCGUGCUACGUGUACCUCAUGUUGACGUAUAAGGCCAGUUUUUAAUAGUAAAAAUGGAUAAAAAUUUUAACA
This is a non-coding RNA of Gossypium hirsutum (cotton), 144 nucleotides long. Lineage: Eukaryota; Viridiplantae; Streptophyta; Magnoliopsida; Malvales; Malvaceae. The record is from Rfam.